AUUGAUUUUAUGCUUGCAUAAAUGAUUUUUGGAUUCGGAGCGAGUGGCGAACUGGUGAGUAACACGUGGGUAACCUGCCCCGAAGCGGGGGAUAACAUUUGGAAACAAGUGCUAAUACCGCAUAAUUAGUUGGAACCGCAUGGUUCCAACUUGAAAGAUGGCUCUGCUAUCACUUUGGGAUGGACCCGCGCCGUAUUAGUUAGUUGGUGAGAUAAAAGCCCACCAAGACGAUGAUACGUAGCCGACCUGAGAGGGUAAUCGGCCACAUUGGGACUGAGACACGGCCCAGACUCCUACGGGAGGCAGCAGUAGGGAAUCUUCCACAAUGGACGAAAGUCUGAUGGAGCAACGCCGCGUGAGUGACGAAGGUUUUCGGAUCGUAAAACUCUGUUGUUAAAGAAGAACAAGUGUUAGAGUAACUGUUAACACUUUGACGGUAUUUAACCAGAAAGCCACGGCUAACUACGUGCCAGCAGCCGCGGUAAUACGUAGGUGGCAAGCGUUGUCCGGAUUUAUUGGGCGUAAAGCGAGCGCAGGCGGUUUUGUAAGUCUGCUGUGAAAGCCCUCAGCUCAACUGAGGAAGUGCAGUGGAAACUACAAAACUUGAGUACAGAAGAGGAAAGUGGAACUCCAUGUGUAGCGGUGAAAUGCGUAGAUAUAUGGAAGAACACCAGUGGCGAAGGCGGCUUUCUGGUCUGUUACUGACGCUGAGGCUCGAAAGCAUGGGUAGCGAACAGGAUUAGAUACCCUGGUAGUCCAUGCCGUAAACGAUGAAUACUAGGUGUUGGAGGGUUUCCGCCCUUCAGUGCCGCAGCUAACGCAUUAAGUAUUCCGCCUGGGGAGUACGACCGCAAGGUUGAAACUCAAAGGAAUUGACGGGGGCCCGCACAAGUGGUGGAGCAUGUGGUUUAAUUCGAUGCUACGCGAAGAACCUUACCAGCUCUUGACAUCUUCUGCCAACCCAAGAGAUUGGGCGUUCCCUUCGGGGACAGAAUGACAGGUGGUGCAUGGUUGUCGUCAGCUCGUGUCGUGAGAUGUUGGGUUAAGUCCCGCAACGAGCGCAACCCUUAUUAUUAGUUGCCAGCAUUUAGUUGGGCACUCUAGUGAGACUGCCGGUGAUAAA
Molecule: ribosomal RNA, 1123 nt
Filed under: uncultured bacterium
Lineage: Bacteria
Description: bacterial SSU rRNA
Rfam family: Bacterial small subunit ribosomal RNA
Source: RNAcentral